CUAGAAUUGCAUCUAACUGGAAGUGGAGGAGGGAAGAUGCAUCAUUCCUCUCCCUGUUUCAGAGGAGCAGGUGCUGAGAGAGGAAGGGAGAUGGUGGACCAGGUCUGUGGGGAUUUCUCCUGGAUGCAGAUUCUGUUUUUCUAAUGUGUGCAUUUGGACUUCUUUGCAACUCUUCAUGGUAAUGCCCCUCCCCACAGAUUAUAAAAGGAAUUAAGAUCCUGCAGAAUGCAAUAAUACAACAAGAUGAGCGACUGGCCAAAGCAAUGGUCAGUGAUGGUUCCUUUCAUAUUACCCUGCUGGUGAUGCAAUUAUUAAAUGAAGAUGAAGUAAACAUAGACUGCAAAUAGGACAUUUCAAGAAAAAGGCAUCCUGGUAGGAGAGAGCAGAAGUUUUAAGCCUCAUUUGACCUUCAUGAAGUUGUCAAAAUCACUGUGGCUCCGUAAGAAUGGAGUGAAAAAAAUAGAUCCUGAUUUAUAUGAAAAGUUUAUCAGUCACAGAUUUGGAGAAGAAAUAUUAUAUCGCAUAGAUCUUUGCUCCAUGCUGAAGAAAAAGCAAAGUAAUGGUUAUUAUCACUGUGAAUCUUCCAUUGUGAUUGGCAAGAAACCUAUUGGAAUUCGAGACUUAAUUAAUGAAGCUUUGCAUCGAGAAACGAUGGGUCUGAAGUCCAAAGUGAAACAGAUAAAGGAACUUUUAUUAAAGCCUGAGACUCAGGCCAAAAUUAGGAGGGAGCUUUUUGAAGGAAGACUUAUUAACAACAGUAAUUCAGCAAAUGACGUUGAUUUCAGCACAACUUUGACAUAAGCUCUACAUUGCGAUUGUGACAACAUAGCUUAUGAAAUCUUUUCAGCUUAUUAAGUAGCUCUUUGGUAAACACCAAAGAAGUUUCUGAUAGUGUCUGCACAACAGCAAACCAACAUUUGGUGAGGAAUUAGCAAUUUCUUGCCAAAGAAAAUUGAUUCUGCCCAAUUAUUUUUUGAGCUACACUUGUGUUUUAGCAUGUCUGUUUCUGUAAUAUUGAGAGUUAUUUUAUAGAAAUGAUUU
This 1041-nucleotide small RNA is filed under the name Pan troglodytes (chimpanzee). RNAcentral's name for it is "retained intron". Lineage: Eukaryota; Metazoa; Chordata; Mammalia; Primates; Hominidae. The record is from RNAcentral.